GGUGGCGAACGGAGAAGGACUCAUUAUUUGGCCCUCUCAAGGCUGAAACAGGGGUUCGAUUCCCCUAGGGAGCGCCA
RNAcentral lists this transfer RNA (77 nucleotides) under Bradyrhizobium sp. Its description in RNAcentral is "tRNA-Glu". The record is from RNAcentral. RNAcentral also lists the same sequence under 3 other names. Lineage: Bacteria; Pseudomonadati; Pseudomonadota; Alphaproteobacteria; Hyphomicrobiales; Nitrobacteraceae.